UACAGAGGUCCCAAGCGUUGUUCGGAUUCAUUGGGCGUAAAGCGCACGUAGGCGGAUAUUUAAGUCAGGGGUGAAAUCCCAGAGCUCAACUCUGGAACUGCCUUUGAUACUGGGUAUCUCGAGUAUGGAAGAGGUGAGUGGAAUUCCGAGUGUAGAGGUGAAAUUCGUAGAUAUUCGGAGGAACACCAGUGGCGAAGGCGGCUCACUGGUCCAUUACUGACGCUGAGGUGCGAAAGCGUGGGGAGCAAACAGG
Molecule: ribosomal RNA, 253 nt
Filed under: uncultured bacterium
Lineage: Bacteria
Description: partial 16S ribosomal RNA
Rfam family: Bacterial small subunit ribosomal RNA
Source: RNAcentral